RNAcentral lists this ribosomal RNA (346 nucleotides) under uncultured bacterium. RNAcentral's name for it is "bacterial SSU rRNA". It matches the Rfam family "Bacterial small subunit ribosomal RNA", at positions 8 to 350 of the family's 1533-position model. The record is from RNAcentral.
CAGAGUUGAUCCUGGCUCAGGACGAACGCUGGCGGCGCGCCUAACACAUGCAAGUCGAACGAGAGAUGAGGAGCUUGCUUUUCAAAUCGAGUGGCGAACGGGUGAGUAACGCGUGAGGAACCUGCCUCAAAGAGGGGGACAACAGUUGGAAACGACUGCUAAUACCGCAUAAGCCCACGGCUCGGCAUCGAGCAGAGGGAAAAGGAGCGAUUCGCUUUGAGAUGGCCUCGCGUCCGAUUAGCUAGUUGGUGAGGUAACGGCCACCAAGGCAACGAUCGGUAGCCGGACUGAGAGGUUGAACGGCCACAUUGGGACUGAGACACGGCCCAGACUCCUACGGGAGGCA